CAAGAAGGAGGUACGCAAGAAGAAAGUGAGUAGGGAAAUACAUUAAGCUAAUUAGGAUAGUAGCGCCCGCUGGCUGAUCUAGUAAGGCCUCGUGAGAUGGCAAUAGCGUCUUGCCUGCCGACGACGAAGAGCAAUCACAGCACGCCAUCAAAAUGCCCGAAGGCGACUGGGAAAAUGGCAAGUCACAGGUGCUAUGUGAAGGGCGGAAGUCAGGGACGGAGAACUCCUUCGUCUGCCGCUACUGCCAGAGGGUCUUCCGCAAAAGUUACAACCUCCUGAUCCACGAACGCUCUCACGAGGACCACGCCAAGUGCCACUACGACGUCUUCAGGGUUCGUUCCAGCUUACAGGUGUAUGGGAUGUCAUGAACCCCUAAUUAGUAGAGCAAGGAGCUAAAGAAUUACAAUUACGCGACGCUCGCAUACAAACUGUGGUAAUGUGGACAUCCCCUUCGUCAUCGUAGUGCCAAAGGAUCUGCCGGCAAAUUGGACCUUUCGUAGUGUGGCACACACCCCUCCAAAAAAAAAAUACUCAAAAAAAAAAAUUAAAUCCGUCCAUUGUUUUGCUUCCGAUCACCACCAGAAUAUCCUAAUUUUUUCCUUAUUUCUGACUAAUUGCUUCCUUUUUUCAGUCUUUGCAUUUUUAUAUUAGAAGUAAAUCAAACGAUUCAAACUUCUUUAGCGUUUGAAAGAUACGCUUCUAUUCUGAUAUCAUCACCUCAAACUCACUGACAACAAAAUUUCUGAAGACCGUUCGGAACAGAUUUUGAAAUGAAAGAUACACCUUCUGUCUAGAUCAUUUUGUUUUCAAUAUGACUUUUUGAAUUUAUUACAUUUAUGAUAAUCACAUAAUGCUGCAUUCUCAAGACGGUCAACUACUUAAUAUUUUAAAAAGCCAUACAGGUUUCAACUGGUGCUGUCUGGAAGAGAGUGAAAAUAGAUUAUGACUUGAAGUAACAUUGAGAAGCUCUUCCAUACAAACUUUUAUAACGUUGAUUAUAUUUCUGAAAUGAGUGUACAUCGAGAUUUUGAUUCAUUCGACGUUCGUAGUGUCAAUAGAACGCUUCAGUCGCGUUCUUUUUCUGUAAGAAGUGUAUCUGACUUAAUUUUUUUUCUGACUGAUAUCCUCUCUCUUUUUUCGCUCUCCUAUUCUGUUCAGGUCAUUCCAGAAGCCUUUGCUCAUCUCGGCUUUAUUCUGUCGCUCGGCGGAAAUGCAAAAACAAAGCUUUCGAAAUUCCAGAUAUGAAAAAUAACUCGGUUAGUAUCCAGAAAUAAUACCGACAUCAGAAGAUAAAGCAGAAUAUAGUUUGCUUCUUUAUGCUUUUCUUAAUUUUUUAUUCUUUUUUUACCGUGAGGUUUUUGUUACAAUGUAAGAGUUGAAUGUGACCGUUUUAGCAUAACACUUAUUAGAUCCAAUUGCAAUAACCAGUAAUUUUACCAGUUUCAAGAUCUUCCAUAUUUUCAGUUAUAUAUCUCUCUCUUUUUUUUCGGUUACACUUUUAUUUUUUGGCUUGCAAUCAAAUAGCAUCAGCAAGAUAUCAUAAUUACAGCGCGUGAAUGUACACACAGCAAAACAACAGUUAUUAUUCAUAUAUAAAUACUGUUAAUACUGAUAGUUAUAGUCAUCCUUGUUUUAUAUCAUUUUGAGGAUUUAAUGAUUUGUUCUUCUCUAUCAAAGUGAGAACCAUUCUGCUUCGUUGAUUGGAGCACCGGCAACCACUUCUGCUUAUCUCGAACUGCAAUGAGAUGUGAUAAGUGAUUACGACAGAAAUACCGUUUUACGGUUGUCAUUAUUAUCGUUAAUAUUCUAGUGAUAGGACUCGAGGUCAUUUGAGAUGAGAAUGUGAAUCGAUAGGGACUUCAUUUUUCACCAAGCCUUGAAAUUGCUGGUGUUUGCUGCACCGCUCUCUUGGAACCAAAAUAGGAAUAUUGCGAGUCAACUAAGAUAGAUUUUGAUUUUACUUUGAGAUCACAUUCAUUCCCAAACUGACGACUGGUCUUCAGGAUUGCAAAAUGAUGCUGGCUAUUCCGAAUUCCUAUUUUAGAAGCUUCUAUUUUAUGUUUCUCUCCAUUUUUUUCCUUUGUAGAACGUUCUUUCGACCUCCAUUGAAGAAUCUUCCAUUUAUGACAGUGCUCCAUAUCUUUAGCUUUUUCUUUGGGGUUUCGUUUUUUCUACCAGAGGAAAAGCUUGUUACGUAUCCUCAGCGCAAAAGGUGCUAAUAAAAAGGGGAAGACUUAAUUUAGUAUUUUUUUUGUUCUAUUAUUAUUAUCAUCCCGAUCUCAAAGUGGAACUCUACGCGACUAUAGAGUCAUAGAGAAUGGUUUCCUCGUUUUCCUUUUCAGUUUCCCGUUUUCUGUUCCGCUGUCUGAGGAGGAAAUCCAGCGAGUGUCACAAGUUUAUUUUUCUCUGCCUGUCUCUGUCUGUCUGUUCGUCUGUCUCUGUUCAUACGUGCCAAUCCAGUGGUUGCAAAUAAAAAAAAUAUGCUUGCAUCAUAUAGGAAUAUAUCGUUAUAAGAUUAUAUGGAAAGCCAAGCAAAAAAGAAAAGCUUUUUCAGUUUUAAGUUCAGUAGUCACUCGGUUUCUGUCAAGAAUCCCAUUUUUGUUUCGUCAAAAGGAUGAAAGUGAACGUUUCUUUGUUUUUUGCUUGACGCUCUCCUCUGGAAGGAAACCCAGUAAAAGCUUUAUCAUUUAUAUUAUAAAAAUUAUAUAGUGUAGGUAGAUUUAUAAAUAGAGUUAAGGCAAGAACUAAAUGUGAUACCUAUAACGUGGCCAGGAAUAGGCAUAGUGGCAUAGACCUAUGAGAAGGUAUAGUGACCUAUAGCCACUAUAGGCCUAUGUACAUUUAUAUGCCUAUAGUUAUCAUAUGUGGAUUCUUAUAAUUGUGCCAUUUGGAUUGUCACUCAGUAUAAUGUGUUGUAUUUUAGAGAAAGAAUAAAAAUCGCUUCGCUUUAU
Macrobrachium nipponense is the source of this 2951-nucleotide long non-coding RNA. RefSeq lists it as uncharacterized. Lineage: Eukaryota; Metazoa; Arthropoda; Malacostraca; Decapoda; Palaemonidae. The transcript is spliced from 4 exons. The record is from RefSeq and is a predicted model, not a curated record.